GAGGGUAUAGUUCAGUGGUAGAGUGUGUGCUUAGCAUGCACAAGGUCCUGGUUUUAACCCCCAGUACCUCCA
Molecule: transfer RNA, 72 nt
Filed under: Camelus bactrianus (Bactrian camel)
Lineage: Eukaryota; Metazoa; Chordata; Mammalia; Artiodactyla; Camelidae
Also listed under: 2 other names
Rfam family: tRNA
About the family: Transfer RNA (tRNA) molecules are approximately 80 nucleotides in length. Their secondary structure includes four short double-helical elements and three loops (D, anti-codon, and T loops).
Source: Rfam by way of RNAcentral